This 791-nucleotide ribosomal RNA is filed under the name Pseudoalteromonas sp. A601. RNAcentral describes it as "bacterial LSU rRNA". It matches the Rfam family "Bacterial large subunit ribosomal RNA", at positions 2159 to 2925 of the family's 2925-position model. The record is from RNAcentral. Lineage: Bacteria; Pseudomonadati; Pseudomonadota; Gammaproteobacteria; Alteromonadales; Pseudoalteromonadaceae.
GAAGAUGAGACGCUAGUUUUGUUGGAGUCGUCCUUGAAAUACCACCCUUGUAGUUUUGAUGUUCUAACGUUGGCCCCUGAAUCGGGGUUACGGACAGUGCCUGGUGGGUAGUUUGACUGGGGCGGUCUCCUCCCAAAGAGUAACGGAGGAGCACGAAGGUUGGCUAAGUACGGUCGGACAUCGUACGGUUAGUGUAAUGGUAGAAGCCAGCUUAACUGCGAGACAGACACGUCGAGCAGGUACGAAAGUAGGUCAUAGUGAUCCGGUGGUUCUGAAUGGAAGGGCCAUCGCUCAACGGAUAAAAGGUACUCCGGGGAUAACAGGCUGAUACCGCCCAAGAGUUCAUAUCGACGGCGGUGUUUGGCACCUCGAUGUCGGCUCAUCACAUCCUGGGGCUGAAGUCGGUCCCAAGGGUAUGGCUGUUCGCCAUUUAAAGUGGUACGCGAGCUGGGUUUAGAACGUCGUGAGACAGUUCGGUCCCUAUCUGCCGUGGGCGUUUGAGAAUUGAGAGGGGUUGCUCCUAGUACGAGAGGACCGGAGUGAACGAACCGCUGGUGUUCGGGUUGUCAUGCCAAUGGCAUUGCCCGGUAGCUACGUUCGGAACUGAUAAGCGCUGAAAGCAUCUAAGCGCGAAGCAGGCCUCGAGAUGAGUUCUCACUAGACUUUUAAAGUCUCUGAAGGGCCGUUGAAGACUACAACGUUGAUAGGCAAGAUGUGGAAGCAUAGUGAUAUGUUAAGCUAACUUGUACUAAUUACCCGUGAGGCUUAACCAUACAACGCCAAACGCGUUU